Molecule: long non-coding RNA, 1098 nt
Organism: Uranotaenia lowii
Lineage: Eukaryota; Metazoa; Arthropoda; Insecta; Diptera; Culicidae
Exons: 3
Source: RefSeq, a predicted model, not a curated record
AACUAAAUCCGGUCUAAUCCGGUGAACAACGAUAUGCGGUUUUUGGUUUUUCGUGUGUCGGUCCAUCGAAUAUUUUUCAAGUGCAGAAAAUCUGCGAGACGUUGGUGCCGGUCGAGGAAAAAAGGCAGGCAAUGUUCCGCUGCGAGACAAAACGGACGUAAGGAUAAUUUUCAUCUUCAUGCAGGAGCUAAUUCGUCAACCGGCCAUCGACUGGAAUGUUCCAAUAUGAGCCUCAAGACAAGUAGGUCAAUCAACUGCAUAAUCUGUCGCCAAUCGACGGCCAAAUAAUUCCGUUAUUGAAAAAAAAAACUCCAUUCGCUCCCAUCGGAUCCUCCUAACACCAGAACAAUAUGGCUAAUUUUUCACCAAAGCGCUAGGUCUUCUGAUUUGAAGAAGAAGCAAGGCCCCUUCGUUCCAGGAAUGCUUCAGUCGCACGCGCACCAUCGCGCCCAAACAAACACCUUACUGCAUCUGAUAUCUUCUCGUUUGUCUCCGGAUUUUUGUUCGGCCAACUUUAUGCGGAACAAAAUUUACUUCGUUUUAAAGAGCAUAAUCUUUUCUGGAAUCCGAAUUAAACGUUUUGUAGUAAUCCAUUCGGUUUUGUAGCCCACCUUUAGGCGUUAAAUAUCAUGGGAAUUCUUGAUGUUUAGUUGGUUAUGCUGACGCUGACUAUGCAUAGCAAUAUGAAAGAGCUCUUUUUUCUUAUGUCAUGGAAUUGUUCUUCGCAUUUUGGCUGCUGGAACAUCCUGAAGCAUCAGAAUGUUAUAAGGUACACCGGGGUAAGUUCAAACAUGGGGUAAGUGCAACAAGGCUGGAUUUCUCCCUCUUCAGGUAUAAUCUAAUAAUAUAUUUUAUUCUAAAAUUGAUUUUUUGAGGGUCAAGAAACAUUUGCAGAAAGUAAAUAUAUUUCUAUGUUUGCUUCUUGUGAGAGAAACCCGCCCUUCAUUGCAGUUUCCCCUGUUCUCACUUGCCCCGGUGGACCUUAUAUAAAAAUAGGGAAGGGACAAUACGAAUACAGAAUAAAAUCGAAUAUAUUUUGUUAAACGUUGGAAUUAAAUCGAUUCGGAUCAAAUAUCGGAAUACCUCCUAGUUUUUAUA